RNAcentral lists this small RNA (548 nucleotides) under Pongo abelii (Sumatran orangutan). RNAcentral's name for it is "processed transcript". Lineage: Eukaryota; Metazoa; Chordata; Mammalia; Primates; Hominidae. The record is from RNAcentral.
UUUUAUAAUAAACCAUUAUAUGUAAGUAAAGUGUUCCUCUAAGUUCUAUGAACUGGUCUAGCAAAUUAAUAGAACCUAAGGAGGGGGUCAUGGGAACCCCGAUUAAUAGCCAGUUGGUCAGAACCACAGGUAAAACAACCUGGUUCUUGUGGUUGGUCUCUAAAAUGGAGGCUAGUCUUGUGAGACUCACCCCUCAACCUAUGGGAUCUGAUGCAGUCUCCAUCCAGAAUAAACAGCCAUUGGACUCUUCAAAGAAAAACGCUGUCUCCAUCAAGUACUGCUUUCGCAGGAAAGUGACCAUUUUUAAUCAGUUGAAAUUAAAGUAGCAGUUAUUUUUGAAAGAUGACAUCAAUUAUAUAAUAUAGUAAAGAGAUUUAAUUUUUAGUCCUUUGUUUCUUACUGCACAAAUUGUAUGGUGUUUGAAUAGAAUUCCCAUGAUACUGACACUUCAGCAAAUACUUGCUUGAUGGCUACCAAUCUCUAUAACUUACAUUGCACAGUACCUAGGAAUAUUCAUGUGAGUUCAUUCCUCCCUGCUCAGAUUCUUC